RNAcentral lists this ribosomal RNA (259 nucleotides) under uncultured bacterium. Its description in RNAcentral is "partial 16S ribosomal RNA". It matches the Rfam family "Bacterial small subunit ribosomal RNA", at positions 524 to 776 of the family's 1533-position model. The record is from RNAcentral.
UACAGAGGGUGCAAGCGUUGUUCGGAAUUAUUGGGCGUAAAGGGCGCGUAGGCGGUGCGGUAAGUCUUUUUGUGAAAUCUCCGGGCUCAACUCGGAGUCUGCAGGAGAAACUGCCGUGCUUUGAGUAUGGGAGAGGUGAGUGGAAAUUCCUGGUGUAGCGGUGAAAUGCGUAGAUAUCAGGAGGAACACCGAUGGCGAAGGCAGGUCUCUGGGGCCACUACUGACGCUGAGAAGCGAAAAGCAUGGGGGAGCGAACAGG